Molecule: ribosomal RNA, 950 nt
Filed under: uncultured Bacillota bacterium
Lineage: Bacteria; Bacillati; Bacillota
Description: bacterial SSU rRNA
Rfam family: Bacterial small subunit ribosomal RNA
Source: RNAcentral
UGGAUCCACACUUUGAUUAUGGCUCAGGAUGAACGCUGGCGGCGUGCCUAAUACAUGCAAGUCGAACGAAACUUCUUUAUCACCGAGUGCUUGCACUCACCGAUAAAGAGUUGAGUGGCGAACGGGUGAGUAACACGUGGGCAACCUGCCCAAAAGAGGGGGAUAACACUUGGAAACAGGUGCUAAUACCGCAUAACCAUAGUUACCGCAUGGCAACUAUGUAAAAGGUGGCUAUGCUACCGCUUUUGGAUGGGCCCGCGGCGCAUUAGCUAGUUGGUGGGGUAAAGGCUUACCAAGGCAAUGAUGCGUAGCCGAACUGAGAGGUUGAUCGGCCACAUUGGGACUGAGACACGGCCCAAACUCCUACGGGAGGCAGCAGUAGGGAAUCUUCCACAAUGGGCGAAAGCCUGAUGGAGCAACGCCGCGUGGGUGAAGAAGGUCUUCGGAUCGUAAAACCCUGUUGUUAGAGAAGAAAGUGCGUGAGAGUAACUGUUCACGUUUCGACGGUAUCUAACCAGAAAGCCACGGCUAACUACGUGCCAGCAGCCGCGGUAAUACGUAGGUGGCAAGCGUUAUCCGGAUUUAUUGGGCGUAAAGGGAACGCAGGCGGUCUUUUAAGUCUGAUGUGAAAGCCUUCGGCUUAACCGGAGUAGUGCAUUGGAAACUGGGAGACUUGAGUGCAGAAGAGGAGAGUGGAACUCCAUGCGUAGCGGUGAAAUGCGUAGAUAUAUGGAAGAACACCAGUGGCGAAAGCGGCUCUCUGGUCUGUAACUGACGCUGAGGUUCGAAAGCGUGGGUAGCAAACAGGAUUAGAUACCCUGGUAGUCCACGCCGUAAACGAUGAAUGCUAAGUGUUGGAGGGUUUCCGCCCUUCAGUGCUGCAGCUAACGCAAUAAGCAUUCCGCCUGGGGAGUACGACCGCAAGGUUGCAACUCAAAGGAAUUGACGGA